Salvia hispanica is the source of this 506-nucleotide non-coding RNA. Lineage: Eukaryota; Viridiplantae; Streptophyta; Magnoliopsida; Lamiales; Lamiaceae. The record is from RefSeq and is a predicted model, not a curated record.
AUGUGGGCUUGGGAGAGGAUACCCAAUAUUCGACCCGAGAUUGUUGAUAGGGUUGAGUAUGAUGGUACGACACCUUGUGGCAUAAUUUGGAGGGGGCGAUUGAAUGUGAGUAGAGCGCCGCUACAUGUCCAAAGUUAUUAUAGGGAACAGUUGGCUCAUUUGCAUGACAAUCAGUUUAUUUGGGAGCCGUAUUUGGGUCGUCCUCUACCAGAUGAGUGCAAGCGUGGGAUGAAUGUUUGGGGAUGCACUAACUACCUCAUUUGCUAUCAUAUUGUGGAGCCGCAUUGGGGUCAUCGAGUUACGCGACAGUUUGGCUUCCCCCAACAUAUUUUUCCUAAUGAGACUCGAUUCCACGUGUUUGAGAGAUGGGAAAGUACGCGGCGAGGUAAGUCAACCACAAAUUGGGUAGCUCAUCAUGCUAACUACAUCCAAUAUUGGAGUAACCGGGGAGAAAUAGAACAGCGAGUGUAUCCAGAAGCCUCGAAUACGGACUACAUGAAUUGGUU